AGAGUUUGAUCCUGGCUCAGAUUGAACGCUGGCGGCAGGCCUAACACAUGCAAGUCGAACGGUAACAGGAAGCAGCUUGCUGCUUUGCUGACGAGUGGCGGACGGGUGAGUAAUGUCUGGGAAACUGCCCGAUGGAGGGGGAUAACUACUGGAAACGGUAGCUAAUACCGCAUAACGUCGCAAGACCAAAGAGGGGGAACUUCGGGCCUCUUGCCAUCGGAUGUGCCCAGAUGGGAUUAGCUAGUAGGUGGGGUAAAGGCUCACCUAGGCGACGAUCCCUAGCUGGUCUGAGAGGAUGACCAGCCACACUGGAACUGAGGCACGGUCCAGACUCCUACGGGAGGCAGCAGUGGGGAAUAUUGCACAAUGGGCGCAAGCCUGAU
This 383-nucleotide ribosomal RNA is filed under the name uncultured Escherichia sp. RNAcentral describes it as "bacterial SSU rRNA". It matches the Rfam family "Bacterial small subunit ribosomal RNA", at positions 8 to 387 of the family's 1533-position model. Lineage: Bacteria; Pseudomonadati; Pseudomonadota; Gammaproteobacteria; Enterobacterales; Enterobacteriaceae. The record is from RNAcentral.